AACGAACGCUGGCGGCAUGCCUAACACAUGCAAGUCGAACGAGACCUUCGGGUCUAGUGGCGCACGGGUGCGUAACGCGUGGGAACCUGCCCUUAGGUUCGGAAUAACUCCCCGAAAGGGGUGCUAAUACCGGAUAAUGUCUUCGGACCAAAGAUUUAUCGCCUUUGGAUGGGCCCGCGUUGGAUUAGCUAGUUGGUAGGGUAAAAGCCUACCAAGGCGACGAUACAUAGCUGGUCUGAGAGGAUGAUCAGCCACACUGGGACUGAGACACGGCCCAGACUCCUACGGGAGGCAGCAGUGGGGAAUAUUGGACAAUGGGCGAAAGCCUGAUCCAGCAAUGCCGCGUGAGUGAUGAAGGCCUUAGGGUUGUAAAGCUCUUUUACCCGGGAUGAUAAUGACAGUACCGGGAGAAUAAGCUCCGGCUAACUCCGUG
This 433-nucleotide ribosomal RNA is filed under the name uncultured bacterium. RNAcentral's name for it is "partial 16S ribosomal RNA". It matches the Rfam family "Bacterial small subunit ribosomal RNA", at positions 29 to 507 of the family's 1533-position model. The record is from RNAcentral.